Molecule: unclassified non-coding RNA, 1447 nt
Filed under: Hevea brasiliensis (rubber tree)
Lineage: Eukaryota; Viridiplantae; Streptophyta; Magnoliopsida; Malpighiales; Euphorbiaceae
Source: RNAcentral
GGUUAUUGGAAGUGCUAUUGCUAUAAAGAUUUUGAGUCGAGGGUUCUUGCCUCUAUGGUCUGGUGUUGUCAUCACUGCUCUUGAUUGCUUUGUAUUCUUAUUUCUUGAGAACUAUGGAGUGAGGAAGCUGGAAGCACUCUUUGCUGUCCUUAUUGCAGUUAUGGCCGUCUCAUUUGCAUGGAUGUUUGGAGAGACGAAACCAAAUGGAGUGGAACUUCUUGUUGGUGUGGUGGUCCCAAAACUUAGCUCCAAAACAAUAAAGCAGGCAGUGGGAAUUGUAGGGUGUGUUAUCAUGCCUCACAAUGUGUUUCUACAUUCGGCGCUAGUGCAGUCCAGAGACAUUGACAACCGUAAGAUUGGCAGAGUUCGAGAAGCACUUAAUUACUACUCCAUAGAGUCGACAAUUGCCUUGGCAAUUUCAUUCAUGAUCAAUUUGUUUGUUACAACAGUGUUCGCAAAGUCAUUUUAUGGUAGUGAAAUAGCCAAUAGCAUUGGCCUAGAAAAUGCUGGUCAAUAUCUUCAGGAUAAGUAUGGUGGGGGAUCGUUCCCCAUCCUUUAUAUCUGGGCUAUUGGAUUGUUGGCUGCUGGACAGAGUAGUACUAUAACUGGUACUUAUGCUGGACAAUUUAUUAUGGGAGGUUUUCUGCACAUGAGGUUGAAAAAAUGGCAGAGAGCGUUAAUAACAAGAAGUUGUGCUAUCGUCCCAACUCUGAUAGUUGCUCUUGCUUUUGACACCUCUGAGAAAUCAUUAGAUGUUCUGAACGAGUGGCUCAACGUUCUUCAGUGUGUCCAAAUCCCUUUUGCCCUGAUCCCCCUUCUUUGUCUUGUAUCCAGAGAAGAAAUCAUGGGUGUUUUCAAGAUUGGCUCUACUAUGAAGGUGAUAUCAUGGCUAGUAGCUGUGCUGGUUAUGCUGAUUAAUGGCUAUCUUUUGAUGGACUCUUUAUCUUCUGCUGUCAGUGGGAUGUUGUUUACAUCUGUUGUAGUUGCUUUUACAGGUGCAUACAUUGCCUUCAUUGUAUACCUCAUUUCACGGGGAAUUACCUUCCCCAAUUGGUUUGUAAAAAACAAAAGUAUCUCGAGCAUAGAUAAUUGAUAUAUGUUCUUAGCAGAAAGCUGAGAUCAUGUUGUACCCUUGUAGCCCGAGUUAAGUAUUUAGCCUUUAUACAAGCUAUAGCCUUCCCCAUUUCUUUCCUUUAAGAAGUGUUGGAUUGUUGGGUCUGCUCAAAGUAAGCAUUAAGAGUGAGUUUGCUGUGAUUACAUCCCAUGUUUUUUGGGUAUGACUAAUUGAGACGGUGACUGUAGCACCUGCAUUAGGAAAAUUAGUUAGAGCUUGUAAUAUUGAUCCAGCAGUUUUAGAUUUUGGUGGAAAAUAAACAAACUGUCCUCAGCUAAUCUCAAGUUUGUUCUUUGGAAUUCUGUUUAGACUUCUUAGGGAUUUCGUUAUUUU